GUGGGGAAUAUUGGACAAUGGGCGCAAGCCUGAUCCAGCCAUGCCGCGUGAGUGAUGAAGGCCUUAGGGUUGUAAAGCUCUUUCACCGAUGAAGAUAAUGACGGUAGUCGGAGAAGAAGCCCCGGCUAACUUCGUGCCAGCAGCCGCGGUAAUACGAAGGGGGCUAGCGUUGUUCGGAUUUACUGGGCGUAAAGCGCACGUAGGCGGUUUGUUAAGUCAGAGGUGAAAUCCCGGAGCUCAACUCCGGAACUGCCUUUGAUACUGGCAAGCUAGAGUCCGGAAGAGGUAAGUGGAACUCCUAGUGUAGAGGUGGAAUUCGUAGAUAUUAGGAAGAACACCAGUGGCGAAGGCGGCUUACUGGUCCGGAACUGACGCUGAGGUGCGAAAGCGUGGGGAGCAAACAGGAUUAGAUACCCUUGUAGUCC
This 425-nucleotide ribosomal RNA is filed under the name uncultured bacterium. RNAcentral describes it as "partial 16S ribosomal RNA". It matches the Rfam family "Bacterial small subunit ribosomal RNA", at positions 354 to 796 of the family's 1533-position model. The record is from RNAcentral.